Molecule: non-coding RNA, 119 nt
Filed under: Clostridium carboxidivorans
Lineage: Bacteria; Bacillati; Bacillota; Clostridia; Eubacteriales; Clostridiaceae
Also listed under: 1 other name
Description: FMN sequence
Rfam family: FMN riboswitch aptamer (RFN element)
About the family: The RFN element is a highly conserved domain that is found frequently in the 5'-untranslated regions of prokaryotic mRNAs that encode for flavin mononucleotide (FMN) biosynthesis and transport proteins. This element is a metabolite-dependent riboswitch that directly binds FMN in the absence of proteins.
Source: RNAcentral
AAAAGCUUUCAGGGCAGGGUGAAAUUCCCGAUCGGCGGUAAAGUCCGCGAGCUGAUAAUUCAGCAUGAACUGGUUAGAUUCCAGUACCGACAGUAAAGUCUGGAUAAAAGAAAGAAAGA